Carassius auratus (goldfish) is the source of this 1733-nucleotide non-coding RNA. NCBI's taxonomy places the organism in Eukaryota, Metazoa, Chordata, Actinopteri, Cypriniformes, Cyprinidae. The record is from the annotation of a RefSeq genome assembly.
CACUUCUUUGCAUGGUCAGCACAUGCUUCAGUGCUCUGAGAGUGUUUAUAGAGCUGUGAGUUUAACACUUCAUGACUGAGAGCAGAACAGAACACAAUCUUCAUCAUCACACAAGACACAACAACAACAAUGAACAACAUCAUCAUCCUCAUCUGGACCAUUGCAGCUUUUAUUCAAGAAUCCAGAGGAAUCACUGUGACUCAGCCUAAAGUUAAAACUGUCCAGCUCGGUCAAACAGCUACAAUAGAGUGUAAUCUGGAUGUAGGACUAACCUCUAAUGGUUUGGCUUGGUAUCAGCAGAAACCUGGAGAAACUCCUAAACUCCUCAUAUAUGGCAUACAAUACCUCCAGUCAGGAACUCCAUCUAGAUUCAGUGGCAGUGGAUCAAACUAUGGAAAAGAUUUCUCUCUGACCAUCAGUGGAGUCCAGACUGAAGAUACAGGAGAUUAUUACUGUCAGAGUAGACACUAUAUCAGUAGUAGCUAUGUGUUCACACAGUGAUAAAGAGUCGUACAAAAACCUCCGUCAGUCAGAGUCACAGUGACUGCACUGAUACAGCUGAGAGACACUGCAGCUGCUGAUGGAGGAUGUGAUUAAACACAUUUACUUUAUUUAUUAUUUACUUUUGGUUCUUUAGAGAUUCAAAAAGUUCUUGAUGUGUCAUUAUAGGGUCUUCAAAUCAGUGCACGGAAAGUAUGGACCAUGUAAUAGCACACUUGAGGAGAUACAGUAUGUAAAACAAAAACAUUUUUUCAUAUAUAAUUUAUUUUCAUUAUUAUGAUAUGUUUUGACAUUUGCCAAUAACUUAAAACAUGCAAUGAUAAUAUUACAAUUUGGUUACUACAUCUUAGUCAUUUGCCAUAUCACAAGAAGGUAACACAAAUCCAGUAUUUUUUUUUUCUUCGUGUAGAGUAUGUGGUAUUUUUGAACUCAAGCACACAAACCACUAUUGGACACGUGUUUUAAUGUAGGACUGAAAAGGGUUCCUUCUGGCACUAUUGGUGGUUUUCUCGAUGUACCUGUACAUUAAUGGAGUAAGAGGCUCUUUGAGGAUUUUCCAACUCAACUGACUCAUUUCAGAGAAUAAAGAGUCAAAUUCAUAUUUGAGUGAUUGUGUUCCUCUCAGAAUAGAGCAGCUCCAUCAGCAGAUGUUCAGCGUCCUCACAGGAGCUUCAUGAUACAGCUGUGUAAAAGCACACAUGCACUCUUUUCUGCUGUUGUUGGUGAAAGCAGAGCAGAUGUCAGAUGAGAGAGAGUAAAGCUCAGUGUGGAGAAUGAUUGGAGUCUCUCAUGUGCUGUUGGUCUCGAUGUGAGACAUCAGUGAGAAUCCAGAGGAGAGAGUGAGUGGAUCUGCUCUGAACAAUGAUCUCUCCUCACUUCUCAUCACGAGAGAGUCAGGCUGCUGCUCCAGAUGUUCAGACCGUCCUUCUGCAGGACUCCAGCACUGCUGUCCUGAGACCUGAUGUUCCCAAACACCUUCAGCUCCGGCUCCAGUCUGAAGAGAAGCUUGAGUUUGUCUCUCACAUCAGUUCUACUGAUCUUUGUGGAAAUCUCUUCACACUCACUGCAGGAGAAAUGAUGCCUGACAAUCAGAGAACACAUCAUCUCAACACAUUAACAUUUAUAUUGUAUUAUUAUUUAUGUUUAUAUUAUAACACAUUGAUAGUGUUUGGCCUUUACCUCUCUGCUCACAGCAAGUAGCUUAGGAAACAAAUAAAGAUGUAAAAACAAGA